UGCAAACCCACCCUCUUGUUCUUUCCCUACUUAAACAGUGUCUGUAUGUCUGUCCUUAGAGGUCCUCUGAUUCCUGGAGUGUAAAGAAGAGCAGCUCCCACCAGUUCAGCUUCAAUGCAAACCAUGUUCCCUGCAUCUCUACUGCUGCUGGCAGCUGUAUCCUGUGUCUACUGUGAUAUUGAACUCAUCCAGUCUGGUCCAGUGGUUAUAGAACCAGGAGUGUCUUUCAGCAUCUCCUGCAAAUUCUCUGGGUUUUCUAUAUCUUCUUACUGUCUUCGCUGGAUACGACAAGCUGAAGGCAAAGCUUUGGAGUAUGUUGGUUAUACAUGCAGUAGUAGUACUUACACUGUAGACUCACUAAAGAGCAAGAUCACUUCUAGAUAUGACAGUUCCAGCAGUACAGUGUUUCUACAAGGGAACAACUUCCAGACUGAAGACACAGCUGUGUAUUAUUGUGCCCGUGAGACACAGUGGCACAAACCAUGACCAGGCUCUACAAAAACCCUUCCUUCAUUGUAGCUUAUAAUAGACUUGUUAAUUUAAACAGAACAGAGAUGUUUCUCAAUUUCACAUUUGUAAACGAUUUCAUACCCAGUACUGGCGGUGCUGGAAAUGUAUAUCUGAGUUGUUUGCCAAUUAUACUCCUGAUAUGAAUUGAAUGGUAUUCUAAUU
Molecule: non-coding RNA, 672 nt
Organism: Oncorhynchus mykiss (rainbow trout)
Lineage: Eukaryota; Metazoa; Chordata; Actinopteri; Salmoniformes; Salmonidae
Source: the annotation of a RefSeq genome assembly